RNAcentral lists this ribosomal RNA (943 nucleotides) under uncultured bacterium. Its description in RNAcentral is "bacterial SSU rRNA". It matches the Rfam family "Bacterial small subunit ribosomal RNA", at positions 535 to 1482 of the family's 1533-position model. The record is from RNAcentral.
CACAACUCGUAUCGGAUUACUGGGCGUAAGCGUGCGCAGGCUGAUUGUUAAGCAAGACGUGAAAUCCCCGGGCUUAACCUGGGAAUGGCGUUUUGAACUGGCAGUCUAGAGUGCGUCAGAGGGGGGUGGAAUUCCACGUGUAGCAGUGAAAUGCGUAGAGAUGUGGCGGAACACCAAUGGCGAAGGCAGCCCCCUGGGAUGACACUGACGCUCAUGUACGAAAGCGUGGGUAGCAAACAGGAUUAGAUACCCUGGUAGUCCACGCCCUAAACGAUGUCAACUGGUUGUUGGGGGAGUGAAAUCCCUUAGUAACGAAGCUAACGCGUGAAGUUGACCGCCUGGGGAGUACGGUCGCAAGAUUAAAACUCAAAGGAAUUGACGGGGACCCGCACAAGCGGUGGAUGAUGUGGAUUAAUUCGAUGCAACGCGAAAAACCUUACCUACCCUUGACAUGUCCAGAACCCUGAAGAGAUUUGGGGGUGCCCGAAAGGGGAUUGGAACACAGGUGCUGCAUGGCUGUCGUCAGCUCGUGUCGUGAGAUGUUGGGUUAAGUCCCGCAACGAGCGCAACCCUUAUCAUUAGUUGCUACGCAAGGGCACUCUAAUGAGACUGCCGGUGACAAACCGGAGGAAGGUGGGGAUGACGUCAAGUCCUCAUGGCCCUUAUGGGUAGGGCUUCACACGUCAUACAAUGGUCGGUACAGAGGGUUGCCAAGCCGCGAGGUGGAGCCAAUCCCAGAAAGCCGAUCGUAGUCCGGAUUGUUCUCUGCAACUCGAGAGCAUGAAGUCGGAAUCGCUAGUAAUCGCGGAUCAGCAUGUCGCGGUGAAUACGUUCCCGGGUCUUGUACACACCGCCCGUCACACCAUGGGAGUGGAAUCUGGCAGAAGUAGGUAGCCUAACCGCAAGGAGGGCGCUUACCACGCUGGGUUUCAUGACUGGGGUG